GAUGAACGCUGGCGGCGUGCCUAAUACAUGCAAGUCGAGCGAACGGACGAGAAGCUUGCUUCUCUGAUGUUAGCGGCGGACGGGUGAGUAACACGUGGAUAACCUACCUAUAAGACUGGGAUAACUUCGGGAAACCGGAGCUAAUACCGGAUAAUAUUUUGAACCGCAUGGUUCAAAAGUGAAAGACGGUCUUGCUGUCACUUAUAGAUGGAUCCGCGCUGCAUUAGCUAGUUGGUAAGGUAACGGCUUACCAAGGCAACGAUGCAUAGCCGACCUGAGAGGGUGAUCGGCCACACUGGAACUGAGACACGGUCCAGACUCCUACGGGAGGCAGCAGUAGGGAAUCUUCCGCAAUGGGCGAAAGCCUGACGGAGCAACGCCGCGUGAGUGAUGAAGGUCUUCGGAUCGUAAAACUCUGUUAUUAGGGAAGAACAUAUGUGUAAGUAACUGUGCACAUCUUGACGGUACCUAAUCAGAAAGCCACGGCUAACUACGUGCCAGCAGCCGCGGUAAUACGUAGGUGGCAAGCGUUAUCCGGAAUUAUUGGGCGUAAAGCGCGCGUAGGCGGUUUUUUAAGUCUGAUGUGAAAGCCCACGGCUCAACCGUGGAGGGUCAUUGGAAACUGGAAAACUUGAGUGCAGAAGAGGAAAGUGGAAUUCCAUGUGUAGCGGUGAAAUGCGCAGAGAUAUGGAGGAACACCAGUGGCGAAGGCGACUUUCUGGUCUGUAACUGACGCUGAUGUGCGAAAGCGUGGGGAUCAAACAGGAUUAGAUACCCUGGUAGUCCACGCCGUAAACGAUGAGUGCUAAGUGUUAGGGGGUUUCCGCCCCUUAGUGCUGCAGCUAACGCAUUAAGCACUCCGCCUGGGGAGUACGACCGCAAGGUUGAAACUCAAAGGAAUUGACGGGGACCCGCACAAGCGGUGGAGCAUGUGGUUUAAUUCGAAGCAACGCGAAGAACCUUACCAAAUCUUGACAUCCUUUGACAACUCUAGAGAUAGAGUCUUCCCCUUCGGGGGACAAAGUGACAGGUGGUGCAUGGUCGUCGUCAGCUCGUGUCGUGAGAUGUUGGGUUAAGUCCCGCAACGAGCGCAACCCUUAAGCUUAGUUGCCAUCAUUAAGUUGGGCACUCUAAGUUGACUGCCGGUGACAAACCGGAGGAAGGUGGGGAUGACGUCAAAUCAUCAUGCCCCUUAUGAUUUGGGCUACACACGUGCUACAAUGGACAAUACAAAGGGCAGCGAAACCGCGAGGUCAAGCAAAUCCCAUAAAGUUGUUCUCAGUUCGGAUUGUAGUCUGCAACUCGACUACAUGAAGCUGGAAUCGCUAGUAAUCGUAGAUCAGCAUGCUACGGUGAAUACGUUCCCGGGUCU
Molecule: ribosomal RNA, 1372 nt
Filed under: uncultured bacterium
Lineage: Bacteria
Description: bacterial SSU rRNA
Rfam family: Bacterial small subunit ribosomal RNA
Source: RNAcentral